UGGGGAAUAUUGGACAAUGGGCGCAAGCCUGAUCCAGCCAUGCCGCGUGAGUGAUGAAGGCCCUAGGGUUGUAAAGCUCUUUCACCGGUGAAGAUAAUGACGGUAACCGGGGAAGAAGCCCCGGCUAACUUCGUGCCAGCAGCCGCGGUAAUACGAAGGGGGCUAGCGUUGUUCGGAUUUACUGGGCGUAAAGCGCACGUAGGCGGACUUUUAAGUCAGGGGUGAAAUCCCGGGGCUCAACCCCGGAACUGCCUUUGAUACUGGAUGUCUUGAGUAUGGUAGAGGUAGUGGAAUUCCGAGUGUAGAGGUGAAAUUCGUAGAUAUUCGGAGGAACACCAGUGGCGAAGGCGGCUCACUGGACCAUUACUGACGCUGAGGUGCGAAAGCGUGGGGAGCAAACA
RNAcentral lists this ribosomal RNA (401 nucleotides) under uncultured bacterium. RNAcentral's name for it is "bacterial SSU rRNA". It matches the Rfam family "Bacterial small subunit ribosomal RNA", at positions 355 to 774 of the family's 1533-position model. The record is from RNAcentral.